RNAcentral lists this transfer RNA (72 nucleotides) under Ictidomys tridecemlineatus (thirteen-lined ground squirrel). RNAcentral describes it as "Spermophilus tridecemlineatus (thirteen-lined ground squirrel) tRNA". It matches the Rfam family "tRNA". Rfam says of the family: Transfer RNA (tRNA) molecules are approximately 80 nucleotides in length. Their secondary structure includes four short double-helical elements and three loops (D, anti-codon, and T loops). RNAcentral also lists the same sequence under 1 other name. The record is from Rfam by way of RNAcentral. Lineage: Eukaryota; Metazoa; Chordata; Mammalia; Rodentia; Sciuridae.
GGGGAUGUAGCUCAGUGGUAAAGUUCAUGCCUAGCAUGUAUAAGGUCCUGGGUUCAAUCUCCAGCACUGCCA